CAAAGCCUUGACGCACUGAGUUCUCGUGAUUGACGCAAGCCCUGUUUCUAAAUUUAGCACCUGGCGGACGGAGGUAGUGUGAUAGCAGGCGGGCCCGUUUAGCGUUGUGAUUGUGAUCCAGCCAAGCCAAAUAUAGUCGUAGACAGGUAUUUUUAGCCGUAAAGCGCGUCCCCGUUUUCAUUCGGCUAAAGCGACCUGGGCCAUACAGUUUGAAAUGAGCCACUGCUCCAAAAUCAGCACACUCAGUGUUAACCUGCUAUUCAGUAGAGGGGGGGUAGUUUUACAGUCAGCUGAUUAUUGCUUGUCAUACACCAGACAGAGAAACAACUCUAGGAGCUGUCGAGUAAAUCCCACUGCCACAGGUUCACUUUCUACCCGGGGACAAGUUUGGAAAAGCGGGGAUUGAAAAGACCAUUGAUCCGAAGAUAAAUAACCUUCGGUUCGCCAAACAGAAACACACGACAGGGUAUCAGCUGCCUCGGCUGUGACCUCACCAUGGUGACGCGUAAUCCAGAUUAACCUGCUCUCUUAUUCCGCCAGACGUGGAAGUGAUUAGAGAUUAUGACCGUGUCCUUUUAAUAGAAUUGGACGUGUGAGUAAUCAACUGCGUCCACCAGCGUCGCGUGUCAGUUUUACAAACAAGAAAAAGGGAGAGCAAUUAAAGCUGGAUGAAGGGAUGUUGCCACAUACCAAGAUCUCACCAACCAACUUGUCAUGGUCACCAUGGUGAAGUCCUACUAAAAAUCGUCAUGACAACUCAAGCCAUCGACAGCCAUGUUUGACGUGUUGCUGAUGGAAUCUCGUGUUCGGUGUUCCACCAGGAAAAAGCCAGUCAUCAGGUCACAACAGUGACCGGACACCUGCCUUAGAGAGUGACGUCAGAUGGACGUCUUCCUCCAGCAGCUUUACUUUAUACACAGUAAGCUGGGGAAGCCCUCACACACACACGUAGACACCCACACACAUAGCCACACUCACUAAUCCAAUUAGGACAUUAGUUAGUAGCAGCCUGGCCUGGGCCACCUCGGACACGCUGAUCCACUUAUUACUGGAUGGAUGGGUUGGGCAAUCCCAGUGUUUCCCUGCUCUAAGGUGCUUAAAUGGUACCAUGACACCGCAUCAGGACGACACAUCAUACGCACACAAGGAUACCCUUUCUAUUUUUGUAGACUUACGCUCUGUCUGUCCAGUGAGUCAACAAAGAUGAGGAAGAAGCCAAGUAGUGACUUCCACUCAGUCAGCAGAGUUACAGAGAAAGAACCGGAAACCCAGAGCUUAGCCAGGGUAAGAGACUUUUCCCCUACGCACUCGGCUCUGUCUACACAAAACUCCUAAUCACCUGCCAGGAAUAGUCACGGACAUACAGUAUACACUCUGGAAAUUAUUAACAAGUAUGCAGAACAAUCAACGGAUGGAAGACCUUGGGGUGCUGCUUUCACUCACUAAACCAGCACUCAUUUUCCAUGCGCUGUGUGUGUUUUCGUGUUUUCUAAGAGCCUCUUCAUUAAACAACACAGCAGAAUGCAGCACACUCCAAACAAGGCCACAAGUCCAUACAGAGGCUCUUACCUACUCACUGUGUAGUGAGGCUCUGCACAGCGGUUAUAUUCUCUUUUAUUCUCGUCUGUACACACACAAACACACCCUGCAUACCGGCAGGGUGACUGAGUACAAUGGCCUAUCCUCUUUUCAUGUGAUGAACUUGCGCUGUAGAUGUUGAAGUCACGCACUCCCAUGCAUACACCACAUAAACGUACAAACAUUAAACCCACGCUGCAGGCAGAGAAGAGAUGCCACGGCUACAUUUUUAUGAACGAAAGCUCAUAAAAAGGCGACAAGAGUUAAAGAAAGUUAGUUGUGUUUUGUCAUGUGCCAUGUCAGGCCCUCCCUUAUGCUAAUGUACCAUUCAUCUGUGUCAUAGAGCGAUAAUGACUCUCAACACAGAGAGCCUUGCUGAAGUACUCCGAGAGUAAAACUGUGCUGUCCACUCACAGUCGGCCUCACCGUCUGUCGAUCUGUCUUUACGCCUCUGUGUUUCUAUGUUUCUCUUUCCCCAUUUCUGUUUGCAUGUCUGUCUCUGUUUCUACAGUUCCCUGUCUCUGUCUGUCUCUGUGUGUCUGCCUCUCUGUCUCCACGUUCUGCCCUCUUUGUUUCCCUGUUUUAUGUUUCUCUGUCUGUUUCCCUGUUUAUCUUUGUCUCUCUUGUCUGUCUUUGUCUCCAUUGCCCCGUUCUUGUCUGCUUGCUGUCUGUCUUCUACAAGCCAAAUUUAUUUUAUUAUCUCCAGCAGUCAGAUUGGACUUACAAAGAAAUUGAAACAACUUCACAAAUGUUUCA
Molecule: long non-coding RNA, 2334 nt
Organism: Larimichthys crocea (large yellow croaker)
Lineage: Eukaryota; Metazoa; Chordata; Actinopteri; Sciaenidae
Exons: 6
Source: RefSeq, a predicted model, not a curated record